GCAGCUUGCUGCUUCGCUGACGAGUGGCGGACGGGUGAGUAAUGUCUGGGAAACUGCCUGAUGGAGGGGGAUAACUACUGGAAACGGUGGCUAAUACCGCAUAACGUCGCAAGACCAAAGAGGGGGACCUUCGGGCCUCUUGCCAUCAGAUGUGCCCAGAUGGGAUUAGCUAGUUGGUGAGGUAACGGCUCACCAAGGCGACGAUCCCUAGCUGGUCUGAGAGGAUGACCAGCCACACUGGAACUGAGACACGGUCCAGACUCCUACGGGAGGCAGCAGUGGGGAAUAUUGCACAAUGGGCGCAAGCCUGAUGCAGCCAUGCCGCGUGUAUGAAGAAGGCCUUCGGGUUGUAAAGUACUUUCAGCGGGGAGGAAGGUGUUGUGGUUAAUAACCGCAGCAAUUGACGUUACCCGCAGAAGAAGCACCGGCUAACUCCGUGCCAGCAGCCGCGGUAAUACGGAGGGUGCAAGCGUUAAUCGGAAUUACUGGGCGUAAAGCGCACGCAGGCGGUCUGUCAAGUCGGAUGUGAAAUCCCCGGGCUCAACCUGGGAACUGCAUUCGAAACUGGCAGGCUUGAGUCUUGUAGAGGGGGGUAGAAUUCCAGGUGUAGCGGUGAAAUGCGUAGAGAUCUGGA
Molecule: ribosomal RNA, 634 nt
Filed under: Salmonella enterica
Lineage: Bacteria; Pseudomonadati; Pseudomonadota; Gammaproteobacteria; Enterobacterales; Enterobacteriaceae
Description: bacterial SSU rRNA
Rfam family: Bacterial small subunit ribosomal RNA
Source: RNAcentral